CCCUUAGAUGUUCUGGGCUGCACGCGCGCUACACUGAAGCGUUCAGCGAGUAUUCACCUUGCCCGGGAGGGUUGGGUAAUCUUUUGAAAACGCUUCGUGAUGGGGAUAGAUUAUUGCAAUUAUUAAUCUUCAACGAGGAAUUCCUAGUAAGCGCGAGUCAUCAGCUCGUGCUGAUUACGUCCCUGCCCUUUGUACACACCGCCCGUCGCUCCUACCGAUUGAAUGAUCCGAUGAAUAUCAUGGAUUGAGGAUUAUAGCAGGUUCGCCUGUCUUGAUCUUCGAGAAGUGAAGUAAAUCUUAUCAUUUAGAGGAAGGAGAAGUCGUAACA
RNAcentral lists this ribosomal RNA (328 nucleotides) under uncultured eukaryote. RNAcentral's name for it is "partial 18S ribosomal RNA". It matches the Rfam family "Eukaryotic small subunit ribosomal RNA", at positions 1470 to 1796 of the family's 1831-position model. The record is from RNAcentral.